CGGAGGGUGCGAGCGUUGUUCGGAAUUACUGGGCGUAAAGCGCGUGCAGGCGGCCGACUAAGUCCGGUGUGAAAGCCCGGGCUCACCUCCGGAAGUGCGCUGGAAACUAGUCGGCUAGAGUACGGGAGAGGGAAGUGGAAUUCCUGGUGUAGCGGUGAAAUGCGUAGAUAUCAGGAGGAACACCGGCGGCGAAGGCGGCUUCCUGGACCGAUACUGACGCUGAGACGCGAAAGCGUGGGGAGCAAACAGGAUUAGAUACCCUGGUAGUCCACGCUGUAAACGAUGGGUACUAGGUGUCGCGGGUGUUGACCCCUGCGGUGCCGCAGCUAACGCAUUAAGUACCCCGCCUGGGGAUUACGGUCGCAAGAUUA
This 371-nucleotide ribosomal RNA is filed under the name uncultured organism. Its description in RNAcentral is "bacterial SSU rRNA". It matches the Rfam family "Bacterial small subunit ribosomal RNA", at positions 526 to 896 of the family's 1533-position model. The record is from RNAcentral.